This 253-nucleotide ribosomal RNA is filed under the name uncultured bacterium. RNAcentral describes it as "partial 16S ribosomal RNA". It matches the Rfam family "Bacterial small subunit ribosomal RNA", at positions 524 to 776 of the family's 1533-position model. The record is from RNAcentral.
UACGGAGGGGGCUAGCGUUGUUCGGAAUUACUGGGCGUAAAGCGCACGUAGGCGGCUUUGUAAGUUAGAGGUGAAAGCCCGGGGCUCAACUCCGGAAUUGCCUUUAAGACUGCAUCGCUAGAAUUGUGGAGAGGUAAGUGGAAUUCCGAGUGUAGAGGUGAAAUUCGUAGAUAUUCAGAAGAACACCAGUGGCGAAGGCGACUUACUGGACACAUACUGACGCUGAGGUGCGAAAGCGUGGGGAGCAAACAGG